AAUGAACAUCAUGCCAGUGACAGCAAACAUGUGGUGUGUGCAGUGUGUGUGCAGACACCCAACGGUGAUCCACAGUACUACAGCUGCAACUUCAUUGGCCACCUCAACCUGCGUCACUGCUACUACCUGGACGAUAUAACUAAUCUCAACCAGACUGAUGAGAUGAACAUUCAGUGUGCAAUUCUAGCAUCAUACAGAGACAAUUAUUAGACCUCAUUUUCAGAAAGAUGACUACACAGUUCUCGGGGGCUGUGGGGGGUUAUUCUGAACAACACCUUAAAAAAUGCUUGAGAAGAAGAUUCUGAACCACAAGGAAGAAAACAAUUGAGAAAUCAGUCAAAGAAAUGGUGUAUCGAGGAUGUGAUAUUAAGGUAGUUUACCAAUGUUAUGUAAAAUGUAA
This is a long non-coding RNA of Carassius auratus (goldfish), 400 nucleotides long. RefSeq lists it as uncharacterized. The record is from RefSeq and is a predicted model, not a curated record. The transcript has 3 exons. Lineage: Eukaryota; Metazoa; Chordata; Actinopteri; Cypriniformes; Cyprinidae.